RNAcentral lists this transfer RNA (66 nucleotides) under Bos taurus (domestic cattle). It matches the Rfam family "tRNA". Rfam says of the family: Transfer RNA (tRNA) molecules are approximately 80 nucleotides in length. Their secondary structure includes four short double-helical elements and three loops (D, anti-codon, and T loops). Further hydrogen bonds mediate the characteristic L-shaped molecular structure. tRNAs have two regions of fundamental functional importance: the anti-codon, which is responsible for specific mRNA codon recognition, and the 3' end, to which the tRNAs corresponding amino acid is attached (by aminoacyl-tRNA synthetases). tRNAs cope with the degeneracy of the genetic code in two manners: having more than one tRNA (with a specific anti-codon) for a particular amino acid; and 'wobble' base-pairing, i.e. permitting non-standard base-pairing at the 3rd anti-codon position. RNAcentral also lists the same sequence under 5 other names. The record is from Rfam by way of RNAcentral. Lineage: Eukaryota; Metazoa; Chordata; Mammalia; Artiodactyla; Bovidae.
GCUUUGGUGGCUCAGUGGUAAAGCAUCUGUCUGCAAAACAGGAGAUGAAGGUUCCAUCCCUGGGUA